This is a long non-coding RNA of Gadus chalcogrammus (walleye pollock), 497 nucleotides long. RefSeq lists it as uncharacterized. The record is from RefSeq and is a predicted model, not a curated record. NCBI's taxonomy places the organism in Eukaryota, Metazoa, Chordata, Actinopteri, Gadiformes, Gadidae. The transcript is spliced from 4 exons.
UAGCUUUAGCACGCGGCUGGCUGGCUUUCUUUUCGCCAGACUCCAGUCAGAAGCAGAAGCCGUUCAAGCUGCGCGACCGCGAUUCAAUCUUGUUAGUUUUAACUACGCCAUGGACGAUGAUGGAAGAGAUGCUAUACACCCGGGCAUGGAUCAUAUAACAACCGCAGUAUUGAAAGCCCAACUGUCUACUACGGGAGAGCGACUGGUUUGCCGUAUUCAAUACUACGUUACAUUUCAAGCAGAUAUGUCCUCCGUUGCCCAAGAAGAUGCUAGAACACAUGAACCUGGACUGGAGCAUACUCACCAAAUAAAAAAAUUACAUCAAUUAAAUAAUAAUAUAAGCAAAUCAUUUUUAGAUGACUGGUGAAUAAAUAAAACAGAAUAUAAUGCACUGUACACACAUGUCUGGACAUUGCUCUUUUUUUUUUAAGGUGAGAUAAGGUAACAUAUACCUUAUCAUUACAUACUAUAUACAUUAUAUCCUAAGGUAACCUAUA